ACUUCGAGUCAUUUUACACAAGGCAGCACAAGAAAAUCCCAAACGGAGAAAACCCGACUACGACUGUGGUGCUGCUGUCCCUUUCAGUUCAGACGACGGUGCUGCUGUCCCUUUAAUACCAGACCUCCUUCAGCGUGGUGCCAGAGGGAGCUCCUCUGAUACACAACAACACCGUUCUCCCACGUAGCGCACAACUUCCAUCUGGUUUGAUCUCAGAUCAACAUAACUCACAUCAGCUCCAGAAAGAGUCAAUCAUUGUUGAAUCGAAGUGCGGAAGUGAGGACUGUUUUAACGUGACAGGGGAAAAGAACGCCGCUUUGUCGCCCUCUAGCGGUCAGUCCGGGGAAACGGACGCAGCUUUGACGAACUCUAGCGGCCAGUCCGGGGAAACGCAAGUUUCUUUAGAGGCAGAGAUGUAUGGAUCUGCUGGUAUCCCCGAGCUCAUCCCAUCGCACGGUCCGCCCCAGCAGAGGGGUCCGGCGGGACAGUUAAACCCGGGCCGGCCUCAGGUUAACGGACCCGAUGGAGGUCCCAAUCCCCAAAGGUUGGGGCAGAGGGCGCCGAAGCUUGGGCAGAUCGGUCGAUCAAAGAAAGUGGACUUGGACGAUGAGGACCUGGAAGACCUGAUGAAUAACAACGGACGUAGUACUGUAUCUAUAUCGCGUACGUCUUAACACCACACACGAGAUUUGGAAAAUUCCUUCCAGAGGGGAACGCCUCCGCAUCAAACACCUGGUCUCAAUGAUUUCAAGUGACUUCUCACAGUUUUUCUGAUCUAUUGAGAAAUACUUCCGGAGCCAAGGCACACAACGUGGCGAAAUAUGCUUGCAAAUUGAAGACCUGGAGUCUUUUUUUAUUGUACAUACAUAGCGCUAACCUAUUUGGUCAGACUGUGAAUGAAUUGUAACUGCGUUUCUCACUGCACACGGGUGCUGGACUGUAUCAGCACUUAGGCGAGCUGUCCAGAGUAGACAGUGUAUGUUGUGGUCAAGAUGAAGACACAGGGCUAUCCGCUAAUUCCUUUGGAGCUUCUAAAAAAAGGGCUACUAGUUGCACUAGAUAAAUUCUGAAAAGGAGCGGGAACCCCCCCAUCAGCAGCCUUCGUUUCUAUGAAGGUUACUGAAUGGCCAGGGGGUCGAUGUUUAUGGGAGCAGCGAGUGGCCGGUUAAUGUGUACCUUUUCCACUGGAGAAAAGGUAACUUUUAAUGCUUUCUUUUUGCUCUCAACCCGAGCCGUGUGAGCAACCGACUGUAACCUUAUUUAUUGUUUUUUGGAUGAAAAAUGCCUCCUCAUCUGAAAGCGUUACUUCAGGGGAAAUAAUUGAAAUCGAAUUAAGUACUGCUGAAUUUUCUUUGUUUUGUGGUGUACAUGUUUUGAGGGAAUGUUCCCUGUUUCUAUUGGAUUGGCUGUUUCUGUUUUCUUUUUUUGGGAUCCAAUGCACACUCCGGGAAUCCCUACCCAUCGCCAGGCCUGCUUAACAAAUCUAUGCAUGAAGUCUGAGUCAUGAAAAAACAACCACACGGUAACCAAGAGACAAUGCACUAGUAUUUAGAAAACAGAUUUUUCUUGUGGAGACUACUAGCUGUAUGAAAUGCUGACGCGGUGGUAUGAUGUCGCAACGAGGUCUGAGUGGCAUGGUUUUGGCUUAUUUGUGGCAUGAGGUAAUUUGCCAAAAGUAGAAUACCGCUUAACGUUUAAUUAUUUUUUUGUAUUGGUUGUGAUGGCUGUCAACCUUGCAUGACAGCUGAUUGGUUAACAGCUCUUUACAUUACUACGUUGUGACUAUUUCGAAACCACUCUGAUCUUAACACACUCAAGGUCGUUUGUGGUUCAGGAGGGUGUUAUUUUGAAGACUACCAUUUGACUCCAGCUGGUAGAAGAAUGAGAUUUAUAAUGGUUUUCGGAGGAGCAGCGCACUGACUUUAUUUUUAAAGAGGCUGGGAGGUGUGACCUUACACAAAGACCCAGUGAUGAUGAUGCCUUUUUGUGUGUGUGUGUGUGUGUGUGCGCGUUUGUGUGUAUUGAAAGUUUUGUAUUGAUCUGUGUUGACACUGACUUGUGUUUCUUUGGGCUGUCUAAAUUACCAAUUGCAUGAAAAUGUAGUUUUUGCAAUGCGUCCUGGGUAAUAAAUGAUGAUUCUUUGAGAAAUA
Long non-coding RNA from Gadus morhua (Atlantic cod), 2150 nucleotides. RefSeq lists it as uncharacterized. NCBI's taxonomy places the organism in Eukaryota, Metazoa, Chordata, Actinopteri, Gadiformes, Gadidae. The record is from RefSeq and is a predicted model, not a curated record. The transcript is spliced from 3 exons.